CUGUUGUGGAUUCCCAGAUGAAUUGUGGACUGCAGCCGGCCAGAAGAAGUGCGUAGAGUUCAGGGACCUACUGCGGCCAACUCCAGCAUUGAAGGUAUGGGGUUGGACUGGCCUGGUUGCGUGGAAGAAGAGCAGACCGUCACCAGUAGGCAGCAGUUCUGUGAUGCACUGCGGUCAAUCCCUGACGUGCAGAUGAGGAGGUGUAUGCUGACCUGGAGGAUCCCAACAGCAGUCAAGAAGAGAA
Molecule: long non-coding RNA, 244 nt
Organism: Saccostrea cuccullata (small rock oyster)
Lineage: Eukaryota; Metazoa; Mollusca; Bivalvia; Ostreida; Ostreidae
Exons: 3
Source: RefSeq, a predicted model, not a curated record